This 1327-nucleotide long non-coding RNA is filed under the name Sinocyclocheilus rhinocerous. RNAcentral's name for it is "lncRNA (ENSSRHG00000004846.1)". Lineage: Eukaryota; Metazoa; Chordata; Actinopteri; Cypriniformes; Cyprinidae. The record is from RNAcentral.
AGCUAAAUAGAACUACAAAAAUAUAUUAUCUAUUUAAUUGACCAUUAUUUAAGACAACUAAUUUCCAUGACUGUGGGAUCCGUGUAAAAUAUCAAUCAGCAGGUGCACUAUUGCCAAUGCAAGGGCAUUAAACACUAUUGCACCAUAAUUUAAUUAAAAUAAAACCUAAUUUAAUCAAAUUAAAGCACGUGAAUGCAUUCAAAUUGAAAAUCAUUGGUUACCCUUCACGUAAAAUAUGCGGUUAUAGACAGGCGCAGUGGCCCGAUCAGCUAUACAUGCUAUGCUAUGCUAUGCUAUGCUAAGUUAAGCUAAGCUAAGCUAAGCUAAGCUAAAGACACUCCUGCAUUGCUCCCUUGCAGGUCCAUCACAAUCACUGUUUAACCCCUUAAUACGUUAAUUUGCACAAGCUUAACCACAGCUGUGUACACAUAACACUUAAAACGAUAUCCGGCCGGGCUUCAGACGAACACAAGGCCUGUGCCGAUCAGUCAUAUAGAAGACGCUGAAGCUUAAACAACAAGCGACUUAUUUUGCUCAUAUCCUAAAAUCUCCUCACCUUUCCUGGUCCCUCCGCAUAGUGACUGGAGCGAACCGCAGAGGUGGCGAAGCGUCGCACAGCUUGUCCGAGCAUCGUUUACUGCUGAAGUUGUGCACUUUCUGCUUUCUUGCAACCCAUCAACCUUAAAUUCACCCUUCUGUGAAACUAUCUGCAACUUCAUGACGAUAUCAAAGCCGCGCAUGACACCUGAGUUCAGCAGGCAGGGUCAUAAAGUGUUCAUGGCCGUGGAAAACCACCAGCGUGUAAGAUUCACAAAGUUCUGUUCUAUAUGAUACUGCUGUGCUGUUCAAGUUACUGUAUAUUCCUCUAUGCUGAGUGAAACACAUUGCCCUCCCAUAAACAACAACAAAAGUUAAAUGGAAUUUCUUGGAGCUAUGAAUUUAUGAAUAUAAGCAAAGUCUGGAGAUUAUGGGUCAUUGUUUUUUUUGUUUUUUUUGCAGUUAAAAUCCACUGCAACAGCCUGUGAAAAUCCAACCCUGCAUCAAUAGAAUAACAAUGACGCAGUACAGAAAAAAGGAUUGAUUAAAGUUGAUUUCUGGUCCUGGCACUGGCUGAGGGGUCUUUCAUCAGGUUCAACCUUUGGGAAGGAGUGAACGAUGGUGCGGCGAGGCAGGGCAGAAGCCUGGCCCUAUGGGAGAACUCGAAUUAGAUAGGGCCACUGCCAGCUGAUGCAGUAUUAAAUGCAGCAGAGCUAAAGCUGAAUCAGCCACUUUGAGAAGUUUGCAUCAAAACUUCUGUUUUUCCCUGUCAAUCACAUUACAUCUUGCG